GCUCAGGACGAACGCUGGCGGCGUGCCUAAUACAUGCAAGUCGAGCGGACAGAUGGGAGCUUGCUCCCUGAUGUUAGCGGCGGACGGGUGAGUAACACGUGGGUAACCUGCCUGUAAGACUGGGAUAACUCCGGGAAACCGGGGCUAAUACCGGAUGCUUGAUUGAACCGCAUGGUUCAAUUAUAAAAGGUGGCUUUUAGCUACCACUUACAGAUGGACCCGCGGCGCAUUAGCUAGUUGGUGAGGUAACGGCUCACCAAGGCAACGAUGCGUAGCCGACCUGAGAGGGUGAUCGGCCACACUGGGACUGAGACACGGCCCAGACUCCUACGGGAGGCAGCAGUAGGGAAUCUUCCGCAAUGGACGAAAGUCUGACGGAGCAACGCCGCGUGAGUGAUGAAGGUUUUCGGAUCGUAAAACUCUGUUGUUAGGGAAGAACAAGUACCGUUCGAAUAGGGCGGUACCUUGACGGUACCUAACCAGAAAGCCACGGCUAACUACGUGCCAGCAGCCGCGGUAAUAC
RNAcentral lists this ribosomal RNA (523 nucleotides) under uncultured marine bacterium. RNAcentral's name for it is "bacterial SSU rRNA". It matches the Rfam family "Bacterial small subunit ribosomal RNA", at positions 22 to 526 of the family's 1533-position model. The record is from RNAcentral.